This 69-nucleotide transfer RNA is filed under the name Cavia porcellus (domestic guinea pig). The record is from Rfam by way of RNAcentral. Lineage: Eukaryota; Metazoa; Chordata; Mammalia; Rodentia; Caviidae.
AGAAAUAUGUCUGACAAAAGCAUUACUUUGAUAGAAUAAAUCAUAGAGGUUUAAAUUCUCUUAUUUCUA